Molecule: long non-coding RNA, 249 nt
Filed under: Ananas comosus (pineapple)
Lineage: Eukaryota; Viridiplantae; Streptophyta; Magnoliopsida; Poales; Bromeliaceae
Description: long non-coding RNA (ACOM_LNC010008)
Source: RNAcentral
CGCUCGUUUUCACUCCUGGGGCCUUCGAUUCAUCUCUAAUCGUACCGAAACCCCCAAAACAUAUUUUCGAGCGCGUUUAAACCAUCUUUUCAUCCACGCCUUGCCGUAUUUCGGCCAAGGUCCAAUCAUAGUUUUUCGAGUUCCGUUUCCGCGCCCGACGCGUACCGAAAACACCAGAAUGCUCCCGAACUUCACCAGAAUCAUUCUAAUGGCUUUCCAACCCAACAUACACCAUAACUUCAUAAUUAU